UGAAUACGUUCCCGGACCUUGUACACACCGCCCGUCAAGCCAUGGAAGCCGGGUGUACCUAAAGUCGAUAACCGCAAGGAGUCGCCUAGGGUAAAACUGGUGACUGGGGCU
This 111-nucleotide ribosomal RNA is filed under the name uncultured bacterium. Its description in RNAcentral is "partial 16S ribosomal RNA". It matches the Rfam family "Bacterial small subunit ribosomal RNA", at positions 1363 to 1482 of the family's 1533-position model. The record is from RNAcentral.